CCCUUAGAUGUUCUGGGCCGCACGCGCGCUACACUGAUGCAUUCAACGAGUCUAAAACCUGCUCUGAUAGGGGUGGGUAAUCUUUUGAAUGUGCAUCGUGAUUGGGAUAGAUGAUUGAAAUUUUUCAUCUUCAACGAGGAAUGCCUAGUAAACGCAAGUCAUCAGCUUGCAUUGAUUACGUCCCUGCCCUUUGUACACACCGCCCGUCGCUCCUACCGAUUGAAUGAUCCGAUGAAUAUCAUGGAUUGAGGAUGCAAGUAGGUUCACCUAUCUUCAUCUUCGAGAAGUGAAGUAAAUCUGAUCAUUUAGAGGAAGGAGAAGUCGUAACA
RNAcentral lists this ribosomal RNA (329 nucleotides) under uncultured eukaryote. Its description in RNAcentral is "partial 18S ribosomal RNA". It matches the Rfam family "Eukaryotic small subunit ribosomal RNA", at positions 1470 to 1796 of the family's 1831-position model. The record is from RNAcentral.